AGCAGCCGCGGUAAUUCCAGCUCCAAUAGCGUAUAUUAAAGUUGUUGCAGUUAAAAAGCUCGUAGUUGAAUUUCGGGAUCAAUUUAUCGGUCGUGCCAAUGGUAUGAACUGGUACAAUUGGUUUCUCCCUUCUGACGAAGCAUGAUGUCAUUAAUUUGGUGUCGUGGGGAAUCAGGACUGUUACUUUGAAAAAUUAGAGUGUUUAAAGCAAGCAUUAGCUUGAAUACAUUAGCAUGGAAUAAUGAAAUAGGACGUUUGAUCCUAUUUCGUUGGUUCUAGGAUCGACGUAAUGAUUAAUAGGGAUAGUUGGGGGCAUUAGUAUUCAAUUGUCAGAGGUGAAAUUCUUGGAUUUAUUGAAGACUAACUACUGCGAAAGCAUUUGCCAAGGAUGUUUUCAUUAAUCAAGAACGAAAGUUAGGGGAUCGAAGACGAUCAGAUACCGUCGUAGUCUUAACCAUAAAACUAUGCCGACUAGGGAUCGGAUGAUGUUAAUUUUAAUGACUCAUUC
Molecule: ribosomal RNA, 508 nt
Filed under: uncultured Glomus
Lineage: Eukaryota; Fungi; Glomeromycota; Glomeromycetes; Glomerales; Glomeraceae
Description: SSU rRNA
Rfam family: Eukaryotic small subunit ribosomal RNA
Source: RNAcentral